CACGUAGGGGGCGAGCGUUGUCCGGAUUUAUUGGGCGUAAAGGGCUCGUAGGCGGCUCAGUAAGUCGGGUGUGAAACCUCCAGGCUCAACCUGGAGACGCCACUCGAUACUGCUGUGGCUAGAGUCCGGUAGGGGAGCAUGGAAUUCCUGGUGUAGCGGUGGAAUGCGCAGAUAUCAGGAGGAACACCAACGGCGAAGGCAGCUCGCUGGGACGGUACUGACACUGAGGCGCGAAAGCGUGGGGAGCAAACAGG
This 254-nucleotide ribosomal RNA is filed under the name uncultured bacterium. RNAcentral's name for it is "partial 16S ribosomal RNA". It matches the Rfam family "Bacterial small subunit ribosomal RNA", at positions 524 to 776 of the family's 1533-position model. The record is from RNAcentral.